AUUGAACGCUGGCGGCAUGCCUUACACAUGCAAGUCGAACGGCAGCACGGGAGCAAUCCUGGUGGCGAGUGGCGAACGGGUGAGUAAUAUAUCGGAACGUGCCCAGACGUGGGGGAUAACGUAGCGAAAGCUACGCUAAUACCGCAUACGAUCUACGGAUGAAAGCGGGGGACCGUAAGGCCUCGCGCGAUUGGAGCGGCCGAUGUCAGAUUAUGUAGGUGGUGAGGUAAAGGCUCACCAAGCCGACGAUCUGUAGCUGGUCUGAGAGGACGGCAAGCCAAACGGGGACUGAGACACGGCCCAGCGUCCUACGGGAGGCAGCAGUGGGGAAUGUUGGACAAUGGGCGCAAGCCUGAUCCAGCCAUUCCGCGUGCAGGACGAAGGCCUUCGUGUUGUAAACUGCUUUUGUACGGAACGAAAAGGCUCUGGUUAAUACCUGGGGCUCAUGACGGUACGGUAAGAAUAAGCACCGGCUAACUACGUGCCAGCCGCCGCCGUAA
RNAcentral lists this ribosomal RNA (500 nucleotides) under uncultured bacterium. RNAcentral describes it as "partial 16S ribosomal RNA". It matches the Rfam family "Bacterial small subunit ribosomal RNA", at positions 29 to 523 of the family's 1533-position model. The record is from RNAcentral.